GCAGUCGAGCGAGAAGCUACCUUCGGGUAGUGGACAGCGGCGCACGGGUGAGUAACGCGUACACAAUCUACCUUAUAGAGGAGAAUAGCCCUGGGAAACUGGGAUUAAUGCUCCAUAGUAUUACACUUUGGCAUCAAGGUGUAAUUAAAGCUCCGGCGCUAUAAGAUGAGUGUGCGUACUAUUAGCUAGUUGGUAAGGUAACGGCUUACCAAGGCUACGAUAGUUAGGGGGCGUGAGAGCGUGACCCCCCACACGGGUACUGAGACACGGACCCGACUCCUACGGGAGGCAGCAGUAAGGAAUAUUGGACAAUGGGCGCAAGCCUGAUCCAGCCAUCCCGCGUGGAGGAUGACUGCCCUAUGGGUUGUAAACUCCUUUUAUUUGAGAAGAAACGCCUGGAUUUAUCCGGGCCUGACGGUAUCUUAUGAAUAAGCACCGGCUAACUCCGUGCCAGCAGCCGCGGUAAUACGGAGGGUGCAAGCGUUAUCCGGAAUCACUGGGUUUAAAGGGUGCGUAGGUGGUUUAGUAAGUCAGAUGUGAAAGCCCGGCGCUCAACGUCGGAAUUGCAUUUGAUACUGCUGAACUUGAAUCAGGUUGAGGUGGGCGGAAUGUGGCAUGUAGCGG
This 624-nucleotide ribosomal RNA is filed under the name uncultured bacterium. Its description in RNAcentral is "bacterial SSU rRNA". It matches the Rfam family "Bacterial small subunit ribosomal RNA", at positions 57 to 681 of the family's 1533-position model. The record is from RNAcentral.